GCGUAAGCGCGCGCAGGCGGUUUCUUAAGUCUGAUGUGAAAGCCCACGGCUCAACCGUGGAGGGUCAUUGGAAACUGGGGAACUUGAGUGCAGAAGAGAAAAGCGGAAUUCCACGUGUAGCGGUGAAAUGCGUAGAGAUGUGGAGGAACACCAGUGGCGAAGGCGGCUUUUUGGUCUGUAACUGACGCUGAGGCGCGAAAGCGUGGGGAGCAAACAGGAUUAGAUACCCUGGUAGUCCACGCCGUAAACGAUGAGUGCUAAGUGUUAGAGGGUUUCCGCCCUUUAGUGCUGCAGCUAACGCAUUAAGCACUCCGCCUGGGGAGUACGGUCGCAAGACUGAAACUCAAAGGAAUUGACGGGGGCCCGCACAAGCGGUGGAGCAUGUGGUUUAAUUCGAAGCUACGCGAAGAACCUUACCAGGUCUUGACAUCCGCUGACAACUCUAGAGAUAGAGCGUUCCCCUUCGGGGGACAGAGUGACAGGUGGUGCAUGGUUGUCGUCAGCU
RNAcentral lists this ribosomal RNA (505 nucleotides) under Priestia megaterium. RNAcentral describes it as "bacterial SSU rRNA". It matches the Rfam family "Bacterial small subunit ribosomal RNA", at positions 558 to 1060 of the family's 1533-position model. Lineage: Bacteria; Bacillati; Bacillota; Bacilli; Caryophanales; Bacillaceae. The record is from RNAcentral.